AACGAACGCUGGCGGCAUGCUUAACACAUGCAAGUCGAACGGAACGGCCCUGCUUUUGUGCGGUGCUCGGGUGACGACCGGGGGAGUAACACGUGAGUUACCUGCCCUUGACUGUGGGAUAACUUCAUACCACUGGGUCUCAUACCGGCUAGGAGCUCCUGCUGCAGGGUGGGGGUGGGAAAGUUUCGGCUGUUGGGGAUGGACUGGCGCCUUAUCAGCUUGUUGGUUGGGUAGUGGCUUAGCAAGGCCAGGACGGGUAGCCGGCCUGAGAGGGUGACCGGCCACACUGGGACUGAGAUACGGCACAGACUACUACGGGAGGCAGCAGUGGGGAAGAGUGCACAAGGGGCGGAAGCCUGAUGCAGCAACGCCGCGUGCGGGAUGACGGGCUUCGGGUUGUAAUCCGCUUUCGCCUGUCACGAAGCGUGAGUGACGGUAAUGGGUAAAGAAGCACCGGCUAACUACGUG
This 468-nucleotide ribosomal RNA is filed under the name uncultured bacterium. RNAcentral's name for it is "partial 16S ribosomal RNA". It matches the Rfam family "Bacterial small subunit ribosomal RNA", at positions 28 to 507 of the family's 1533-position model. The record is from RNAcentral.